UACGAAGGGGGCUAGCGUUGUUCGGAAUUACUGGGCGUAAAGCGCGCGCAGGCGGUCUUCCAAGUCAGUGGUGAAAGCCCGGAGCUCAACUCCGGAACUGCCAUUGAGACUGUAAGACUUGAGGAUGAGAGAGGUGAGUGGAAUUCCCAGUGUAGAGGUGAAAUGUGUAGAGAUCGGGAGGAACACCGGUGGCGAAGGCGGGUCUCUGGGCAAUUCCUGACGCUGA
Molecule: ribosomal RNA, 226 nt
Filed under: uncultured prokaryote
Description: partial 16S ribosomal RNA
Rfam family: Bacterial small subunit ribosomal RNA
Source: RNAcentral